Molecule: ribosomal RNA, 247 nt
Filed under: uncultured bacterium
Lineage: Bacteria
Description: partial 16S ribosomal RNA
Rfam family: Bacterial small subunit ribosomal RNA
Source: RNAcentral
GAUCCUGGGCUCAGAGUGAACGCUGGCGGUAGGCCUAACACAUGCAAGUCGAACGGCAGCACAGAGGAGCUUGCUCCUUGGGUGGCGAGUGGCGGACGGGUGAGGAAUACAUCGGAAUCUACUCUGUCGUGGGGGAUAACGUAGGGAAACUUACGCUAAUACCGCAUACGACCUACGGGUGAAAGCAGGGGAUCUUCGGACCUUGCGCGAUUGAAUGAGCCGAUGUCGGAUUAGCUAGUUGGCGGGG